GAUCUUGAGCGCCUUCCCGAGUGGCAAUGCCUUUCCGAGAGCGGCCCGACUAGUCUCCUCCUGAAGCGUGGGGGUCCUUUGGGACUGCUAGGAGGGUAAAAUCCAUUUCAGGAUCGGAAAGGAAGGUAGUUGCUUGGGGGAAGAUACACGGGCUCCGGCUCUCUUUGGAAGCGCUCACACUACCAAGCCCUCCCGUGCAAAAUUCAGGAAGGAUGCGCUUUGGUCUUGGUGCAUCCUCCUCUAAUCCUAUUUCCAAAGUACAACCAGCAAAGGCUUGGUUGUUAAAAGAGUAUGGCAAUUCAUGGCAAAAGAAAAAAAAAUGUGCUGGAAGACAAGAGGAUGCCAAGGAAACAGACGGAGCCGCUCUUUCCUAAGCUUAUUAAUUUCCCACAGGGAGAGUUCUGGAAGAGGCUGUGAGGGUUGGGGGAAGCAGAGACUGGAACAUCAAGGAUCUGCCAUAUCUGCAUUCGCCAACCUCACUCUCCAGAAUAAGGAACUUUAUAGGGGGCACACUUGACUGAUUACUUGUACAUGAAAGAGUAAUAACAAUGAUGGGUUUUGGGUAGGAGAAAACACCAGUCCUCUGCACAAAUGUUGUUCAGAGGAUUGUUAACUUGGUUCCUAUCACUUUGCCUUUAUCAUGAGAGUGGAUACAAGGUGGGUUUAAAAGAGAGUGGGAGGU
Long non-coding RNA from Tupaia belangeri chinensis (Chinese tree shrew), 682 nucleotides. RefSeq lists it as uncharacterized. The transcript has 3 exons. The record is from RefSeq and is a predicted model, not a curated record. Lineage: Eukaryota; Metazoa; Chordata; Mammalia; Scandentia; Tupaiidae.